RNAcentral lists this long non-coding RNA (355 nucleotides) under Numida meleagris (helmeted guineafowl). RNAcentral's name for it is "lncRNA (ENSNMEG00000020282.1)". The record is from RNAcentral. Lineage: Eukaryota; Metazoa; Chordata; Aves; Galliformes; Numididae.
UGUGCAUCAUAAAGGUAUCCAAUUACCUCAGCCGGAAAAAAAAUCCAGACAAUAACAGAUACAAUCCUAUGCUCUCUGUGCAGUGGUUCUUCCUGGGUGUACUUUGCUGUGAAUCCAGCCAGAGGUACCAGUGGCAGAGAAGAAAAAAACAUAAUGGAACAACAUCUUAGAGUUGACGGAUUUUCAAACCUGAAAGCCAUUAGAAUCUGCGCUAAAAAUGCAGUGUUUCCCCCUGCCUGGUUUGCACCCAUGAAAUCAAUGAAAGCACACAGAAAUUAAUGAAAGAAACGUUGAAAUUCUCCCACCCCAGACUGCAUAUUUUGAUGCUUACUACCCACCCUUCCAUUUUCCUGGA